AGAGUUUGAUCCUGGCUCAGGACGAACGCUGGCGGCGUGCCUAAUACAUGCAAGUCGAGCGGAGUAUUUCUUUCGGGAAAUGCUUAGCGGCGGACGGGUGAGUAACACGUAGGUAACCUGCCUAUCAGAUCGGGAUAACUAUCGGAAACGAUAGCUAAGACCGGAUAACUGGUUUUCUCGCAUGAGAGAAUUAUGAAACACGGAGCAAUCUGUGGCUGAUAGAUGGGCCUGCGGCGCAUUAGCUAGUUGGUGGGGUAACGGCUCACCAAGGCGACGAUGCGUAGCCGACCUGAGAGGGUGAACGGCCACACUGGGACUGAGACACGGCCCAGACUCCUACGGGAGGCAGCAGUAGGGAAUCUUCCGCAAUGGACGCAAGUCUGACGGAGCAACGCCGCGUGAGUGAUGAAGGUUUUCGGAUCG
This 423-nucleotide ribosomal RNA is filed under the name uncultured bacterium. Its description in RNAcentral is "bacterial SSU rRNA". It matches the Rfam family "Bacterial small subunit ribosomal RNA", at positions 8 to 425 of the family's 1533-position model. The record is from RNAcentral.